UUUAAUGCCUUCNNCNUGCCNAAUCAUGCAAGUCGAGCGCAGGAAGCAUCACGAUCUCUUCGGAGUGAAUGAUGUGGAAUGAGCGGCGGACGGGUGAGUAACACGUGGGCAACCUGCCCUGGAGACUGGGAUAACUUCGGGAAACCGAAGCUAAUACCGGAUAAUCAAAGGAACCGCAUGGUUCCCUUGUAAAAGUUGGGUUUUACCUAACACUACAGGAUGGGCCCGCGGCGCAUUAGCUAGUUGGUAAGGUAAUGGCUUACCAAGGCGACUAUGCGUAGCCGACCUGAUAGGGUGAUCGGCCACACUGGGACUGAGACACGGCCCAGACUCCUACGGGAGGCAGCAAUAGGGAAUCAUCCGCAAUGGGCGAAAGCCUGACGGUGCAAUGCCGCGUGAACGAUGAAGGUCUUCGGAUCGUAAAGUUCUGUUAUGAGGGAAGAACAAGUGCCGCACGAAUAGACCGGCACCUUGACGGUCCUUCGAGAAACCCCGGCUAACUACGUGCCANCAGCCCCGG
RNAcentral lists this ribosomal RNA (520 nucleotides) under bacterium BnMSX29. Its description in RNAcentral is "bacterial SSU rRNA". It matches the Rfam family "Bacterial small subunit ribosomal RNA", at positions 32 to 520 of the family's 1533-position model. The record is from RNAcentral.